This 656-nucleotide long non-coding RNA is filed under the name Cyanistes caeruleus (blue tit). RNAcentral describes it as "lncRNA (ENSCCEG00000018136.1)". The record is from RNAcentral. Lineage: Eukaryota; Metazoa; Chordata; Aves; Passeriformes; Paridae.
AUCUCAGCCAGGAUGUUCCACCUCAGAGAGCCAGGUUCUUUGUGGAGCUCUGAUACAUACUGAAAAGUGACAAACCUGGGUAAAUUUGCCUCUCUGUCCAUAUCCUAGGUGGUAUCUGCUCCAGAUGUGUACCACAGCAUUUCUGACCUUCCCCUCACUGACCAGCACCACAAACUCAGCAUUAUCAGCGAGCUCUGUCCCCUCCUGAAUCACCCAGUAAAAAUCUGUGGCAGAGCUGAGCAUCAAGAAAGUGACUGCUUGUCAUUAAUAUCCACUUCACUUUAAACUCACUGCAGCCCUGGAAACCUCAGAAGCUGCUAUUCCAGUUGCUCAUAAUGUGCUCUUUGUUUUGUGCUUGGCUUAUCUUGGAGCACAAUGCAAUCUGAAGGAAGUACACCCACUCCCUGAUGUUUUCCUUGGGAGCCAGAAAUGUGCGUGCGGCGUUGUUUGGGGCAGUGCUAAGAAGUCUUAGUGAAAUGAAGAAGUUGGACUUCCUUGUUUUACUAUUAUCUCAUACUGCCCCUUCUUUUCUGGAGAGAGAAAGGAAAAAGAGAAGGGAGAGGAAAAAAACUGAAACUGGAGAAAGGAGAAUUGAGAUGUUUUCAGGACCCGAGAUGAAAUAUUUUGUGCUGAAUUUGAAGCAUUUUAUUCAGUGA